UCGAUCGAACUCCUCGAUGCAAAUUCGGAGUGUUGGACCACCAGCAUCGAGUCCCACAUCCCUCAAGGAAAACAAAACAAAACAUGAGUAAUUCAGGUUUAUCAGCCAAUUCAUCACCAACACCAAGAAUUCCAGAAUCCGAGAGUCCCCAAUCAUCCAACGUAAAUAAAUUCAUGACUAAAAUAAAAUUAAGCCUCGAGGCAGAAAGCAAGAUCGAACGUUCCAAUCGAGAACUUCACCUGAAGCGCGUGCAGAACUUGAGAAAGCAGUUGGAAUACUUGAAAAGCACAGAAUGGAAAUAUCAAACUGUGGAUAGAAAUUUGGAUUAUGGUCACAGGAACUAGCUACAGUAAUUAGAUCCUCUGAAUUUGUUAAUAAAAUUACUUAUAACUUUCCAAUAAAAUUAAGUUACCAAAAACUUGACUGAUGUUAGAGAAAUAUAGUUCAAGUCUUUGCUGUGAUAAAAAUACAAUAUAAAUGCA
This is a long non-coding RNA of Copidosoma floridanum, 482 nucleotides long. Lineage: Eukaryota; Metazoa; Arthropoda; Insecta; Hymenoptera; Encyrtidae. The record is from RefSeq and is a predicted model, not a curated record.